GCGUGCAUACUGGUUGGGUAAGUUGCUAAGGGCGCACGGUGGAUGCCUUGGUAGUAGGAGCCGAUGAAGGACGUGGGAAUCUGCGAUAAGCCUGGUGGAGUUGAUAACCGAACGGUGAUGCCAGGAUGUCCGAAUGGGGAAACCCCGCAUGCAUGGCUUUGGUUGUGUGUGUGACCGCUGGUUGAAUGUAUAGGCCAGUUGGAGGGAACGUGGGGAAGUGAAACAUCUCAGUACCUGCAGGAAGAGAAAACAAUUGUGAUUCCGUGAGUAGUGGCGAGCGAAAGCGGAGGUGGCUAAACCUAUUGCGUGUGAGACCCGGCAGGGGUUGCGUGGUGGGGGUUGUUGGGACGUUGCGUGGUGUGCUGCCGUGCACCGCAGUGAUGCGUAUUGGUAGACGAAGCAGUGUGAGUGCUGCACCGGAGAGGGUGGGAGUCCCGUAGUUGAAACUGGUGUGUGUUGUUGUGUGAUGUUCCCGAGUAGUACGGGGUUCGUGGAGCCUCGUGUGAAUCUGCCAGGACCACCUGGUAAGCCUAAAUACUUCCUAUUGACCGAUAGUGAAUCAGUACCGUGAGGGAAUGGUGAAAAGUACCCCGGGAGGGGAGUGAAAUAGUACCUGAAACCGUGUGCUUACAAUCCGUCCGAGCCUGCUUUUUUGGUGGGUGAGGGCGUGCCUUUUGCAAAAUGAGCCUGCGAGUCAGUGAUGCGUGGCGAGGUUAACCCGUGUGGGGUAGUCGUAGCGAAAGCGAGUCUGAAAAGGGCGUAUUUAGUCGCGUGUUCUGGACCCGAAACGAAGUGAUCUACCCAUGGCCAGGUUGAAGCGCGUGUAAGAGCGUGUGGAGGACCGAACCCACUUCAGUUGAAAAUGGAGGGGAUGAGUUGUGGGUAGGGGUGAAAGGCUAAUCAAACUUCGUGAUAGCUGGUUCUCCCCGAAAUGCAUUUAGGUGCAGCGUUACGUGUGCUUGCUGGUGGUAGAGCUACUGGUUGGCUGAUGGGCCCUACAAGGUUACUGACGUCUGCCAAACUCCGAAUGCCGGUUAAGUCUAGCGUAGCAGUGAGACGGUGGGGGAUAAGCUUCAUCGUCGAGAGGGAAACAGCCCAGAUCAUCGGUUAAGGCCCCUAAGCGUGUGCUAAGUGGGAAAGGAUGUGGAGUUGCUGAGACAACCAGGAGGUUGGCUUAGAAGCAGCCACCCUUGAAAGAGUGCGUAACAGCCCACUGGUCAAGUGAUUCUGCGCCGACAAUGUAGCGGGGCUCAAGCACACCGCCGAAACCAUGACAGCACCACGUUACGUGGUGUUGGGUAGGGGAGCGUCGUGCACGCGGUGAAGCAAGCCCGUGAGGUCUUGUGGAGUGUGUGCGAGUGAGAAUGCAGGCAUGAGUAGCGAAUGACGGGUGAGAAACCCGUCCGCCGGAUGACGAAGGGUUCCAGGGUCAAGUUUUUCUUCCCUGGGUUAGUCGGGGCCUAAGGCGAGGCCGACAGGCGUAGUCGAUGGAUAACGGGUUGAUAUUCCCGUACCAGUGCUACACCGUCCAUGACAAGUUGGUGAUACUAACCACCCAAUCCACCGUUAGCAGCCUUCGGGUUGUUUCUGGUGGGGCGGCUGGGACCUGAUCCAGUGCGUCAAGCGCAUUAACAGGUGUGACGCAGGAAGGUAGCCGGGCCAGGCAGUGGAAUUGUCCUGGUCUAAGCGUGUAGGGCGUCUGGUUGGUAAAUCCGCCAGACAUAAUGCUUGAGACGUGAUGGGCGCCCACGUGGUGGGUGAUUCGGUGAUCCUAUGCUGUCGAGAAAAGCAUCGGCGCGAGGUGUGGUGUUGCCCGUACCCGAAACCGACACAGGUAGUCAGGUAGAGAAUACUAAGGCGAUCGAGAGAAUCAUAGUUAAGGAACUCGGCAAAAUGCCCCCGUAACUUCGGAAGAAGGGGGGCCCGGACCCUGAUGCCCACUUGCUGGGUGGAGGGGGUAAGGGCCGCAGAGACUAGGGGGAGGCGACUGUUUAUCAAAAACACAGGUGCAUGCGAAGUCGUAAGACGAGGUAUAUGCACUGACUCCUGCCCGGUGCUGGAAGGUUAAGCGGAUCUGUUAGCCACACGUGUGUGGCGAAGCGGAGAAGUUAAGCCCCAGUAAACGGCGGUGGUAACUAUAACCAUCCUAAGGUAGCGAAAUUCCUUGUCGGGUAAGUUCCGACCUGCACGAAUGGAGCAACGACCUCUCCGCUGUCUCUACUAUGAACUCGGCGAAAUUGCAUUACGAGUAAAGAUGCUCGUUACGCGCAGAAGGACGGAAAGACCCCGGAACCUUUACUAUAGUUUGGUAUUGGUAUUGACUAGCACUUGUGUAGCAUAGGUGGGAGACGGUGAAGCCGCCACGCUAGUGGUGGUGGAGUCGAAUCGUGAAAUACCACUCUGGUGGUAGUGAAUAUCUAACUUCGGGCCAUGAUCUGGUCCAGGGACAGUGCCUGAUGGGUAGUUUAACUGGGGCGGUUGCCUCCUAAAUGGUAACGGAGGCGCCCAAAGGUUCCCUCAGCCUGGUUGGUCAUCAGGUGUUGAGUGUAAGUGCACAAGGGAGCUUGACUGUGAGACCGGCAGGUCGAGCAGGAACGAAAGUUGGGACUAGUGAUCCGGCGACUCGUUGUGGAACGGUCGUCGCUCAACGGAUAAAAGGUACUCCGGGGAUAACAGGCUGAUCUUGCCCAAGAGUUCAUAUCGACGGCAUGGUUUGGCACCUCGAUGUCGGCUCGUCGCAUCCUGGGGCUGGAGUAGGUCCCAAGGGUUGGGCUGUUCGCCCAUUAAAGCGGUACGCGAGCUGGGUUCAGAACGUCGUGAGACAGUUCGGUCCCUAUCCUCUGCGCGCGUUGGAGAAUUGCGAAGGGCUGUCCUUAGUACGAGAGGACCGGGACGGACGAACCGCUGGUAUGUCAGUUGUACCGCCAGGUGCAUGGCUGAUUGGCUACGUUCGGGAUGGAUAACCGCUGAAAGCAUCUAAGCGGGAAGCCGGCUUCAAGAUGAAUUCUCCU
This 3011-nucleotide ribosomal RNA is filed under the name Enteractinococcus helveticum. Its description in RNAcentral is "bacterial LSU rRNA". It matches the Rfam family "Bacterial large subunit ribosomal RNA". The record is from RNAcentral. Lineage: Bacteria; Bacillati; Actinomycetota; Actinomycetes; Micrococcales; Micrococcaceae.